This is a long non-coding RNA of Brassica napus (rape), 1627 nucleotides long. RefSeq lists it as uncharacterized. The transcript is spliced from 3 exons. The record is from RefSeq and is a predicted model, not a curated record. Lineage: Eukaryota; Viridiplantae; Streptophyta; Magnoliopsida; Brassicales; Brassicaceae.
GUCUCGAUUACGUUCCCGAUGCGAGCAAACUGAGAAAUGGCAAUCGUUACAGCAUUGAAACCUCAAUCAAUGCCCACUACUUUAACUUCAAUGCUUCUACUUUUUCUUCAAGCUCUCGCAUGGCGUCUAUCCAUUUGGUCUGCCUUUACUCGCAAAACUCUAAAUCUCUGUCACAAAAUCCUGUAACGGCUAAGCAACAACUCCAUUUCUUUGAGAUCAGGGCAGGCCCCUUCGGUUCUGGCCUUUCUGGGAAGCUCGCAAUGUCAAGAAAGGUGGAGAUUUGAUUCGUAUGGAUCUGGUCCUGCUUGAUGGAAAGUAACUGAGACAUUCUUUUUUCUUAAUUCUUGAUUCCUAUAUUUUUUGAUGUUGUAUUUUGUGAUCGAAACUCUGUUUUGUGCUGUUUGGUUCAAAUGAUCUGUUGCCCAUUAUCUAUUGCCUCUGUCUAUGAUGUUACCAUGCUACUUCUCUCUCAUUUUUUAUAUUAUUGAUUUUGCUAGAGAUUUCGAUGUUCCAGGCUGUUGUGGUUUCUCAGCGAAACUGAAAGUUUUCCCGAGUUUUUCUUUCUUUUUUAUUCUCUAGGAGUUUCUGCUGGUUGCUAUUUUUGAUGUACUUAUGAAACUUUAUCUUUUGAUUCUGUAUACUUCUGAAAAUGUACCACAUAUUACUCUUUUGUUCAUAGUAAACUCUGAUUCAUCGAGCAGGUAAAACUUCGCAUAUAUAGUUGGUGAAAAUAUGGGUUUAAAGACGACACACAAUGAAGAAACGCAAAAAAAAAAAAAAAAAAAAAAAAACGUCUCAUGAAUCAUGGCAACCAUACACAUUUACAGGUCAUACCAUUUUAUUUCCAUUUCUUUUUUCAAACUUUCUACAAUAAGGGGUUGUAUAGUUUUUUUUUUAAUCAGUUCGUUUCUAAAUCCUUGACAAUGCAUGACCACUAACAUAUGUGUGAGUGUUUUUGACGGGAUAGAUGUACAACUUCAUGUAAGUUGUUUGCGGCUGGUGUGGCCAGCCACUGAUUGUUGUAGCAACUAAUUUUAAUCCUAAACUGGUUGGAGGCCGCUGACAGGAAGACCUACAGAACAUGGCGCUUCCACAAUGCCUUGCUGAUAUUGUGGGGAGGACCUUCACAUUCCAGCUCAAUCUUACAAAUUUUAAUUUCUUAGCAAAGAUCAGUCUUUCACGAUCUCACACAUAUUUGAUAGCAACCAGCCCCUACCUCUCCCUAAUUUUGAGAACCAGGAAGGACACAACAACCCAGGCGAUGAUGUGCGAGGAGCUGGUCCGGUUUCACAGAUUUCUCCAGCUGGUGUUCACAUAGUUCUUCCUGACACUAGCACGGUGUUGACAAUGUUGUUCCUGCUAACAUCAGAGGCAUCACCGAACUAUCUUCAAAUGAUGCCUCAGUUAAGGAAGGUGGCUCCUCUACAAAGAAGUAACGUCGUGGCUAAAUCUGCAAUAUUGUACUCCAUCCAGAUAGAAAGUGGUCCUACAACUACUCUAUUGUCUCUUCUUUUAAAAUUUUCUUGAAAUAAUAAAAGUAUAUUCAUGCAGCAAUCUGCUUCCGUAUUUUUGAGUGUUUGGUUUUAAACAGUAUUAUGUUCUCUGGAAGGAAACUCUUUUUUUAUCA